RNAcentral lists this non-coding RNA (19 nucleotides) under synthetic construct. The record is from RNAcentral.
UCGUGGUACAUUACCUGCC